This 746-nucleotide ribosomal RNA is filed under the name uncultured bacterium. Its description in RNAcentral is "bacterial SSU rRNA". It matches the Rfam family "Bacterial small subunit ribosomal RNA", at positions 33 to 773 of the family's 1533-position model. The record is from RNAcentral.
ACGCUGGCGGCAGGCCUAACACAUGCAAGUCGAGCGGUAGAGAGAAGCUUGCUUCUCUUGAGAGCGGCGGACGGGUGAGUAAUGCCUAGGAAUCUGCCUGGUAGUGGGGGAUAACGCUCGGAAACGGACGCUAAUACCGCAUACGUCCUACGGGAGAAAGCAGGGGACCUUCGGGCCCUUGCGCUAUCAGAUGAGCCUAGGUCGGAUUAGCUAGUUGGUGAGGUAAUGGCUCACCAAGGCGACGAUCCGUAACUGGUCUGAGAGGAUGGUCAGUCACACUGGAACUGAGACACGGUCCAGACUCCUACGGGAGGCAGCAGUGGGGAAUAUUGGACAAUGGGCGAAAGCCUGAUCCAGCCAUGCCGCGUGUGUGAAGAAGGUCUUCGGAUUGUAAAGCACUUUAAGUUGGGAGGAAGGGCAGUUACCUAAUACGUAUCUGUUUUGACGUUACCGACAGAAUAAGCACCGGCUAACUCUGUGCCAGCAGCCGCGGUAAUACAGAGGGUGCAAGCGUUAAUCGGAAUUACUGGGCGUAAAGCGCGCGUAGGUGGUUUGUUAAGUUGGAUGUGAAAUCCCCGGGCUCAACCUGGGAACUGCAUUCAAAACUGACAAGCUAGAGUAUGGUAGAGGGUGGUGGAAUUUCCUGUGUAGCGGUGAAAUGCGUAGAUAUAGGAAGGAACACCAGUGGCGAAGGCGACCACCUGGACUGAUACUGACACUGAGGUGCGAAAGCGUGGGGAGCAAAC